Paramarasmius palmivorus is the source of this 97-nucleotide non-coding RNA. The record is from the annotation of a GenBank genome assembly. NCBI's taxonomy places the organism in Eukaryota, Fungi, Basidiomycota, Agaricomycetes, Agaricales, Marasmiaceae.
GGGGGUAUAGCUCAGCUGGGAGAGCAGCAGACUGAAGUGAGCCACUCUAAACCCAAGCUCGUUCUGAAGGUCCCGCGUUCGAUCCGCGGUACCCCCA